AAACCAUCAAGCCCAGCUUGGUAUUGGACGCGGUCGAGUGACCCGUCCGUAACCCGUUGGCGGUGCAGUCCGGCUUCGAGCGUAGCAGAAUCCUCGCUUCAGGAGUCCGUACGGCGCCCGCCAGGAAAUGGCCACCUUUUAAA
RNAcentral lists this unclassified non-coding RNA (143 nucleotides) under uncultured Dothideomycetes. RNAcentral's name for it is "sequence contains ITS2". Lineage: Eukaryota; Fungi; Ascomycota; Dothideomycetes. The record is from RNAcentral.